UACGUAGGGUGCGAGCGUUAAUCGGAAUUACUGGGCGUAAAGCGUGCGCAGGCGGUUUUGUAAGUCAGAUGUGAAAUCCCCGGGCUUAACCUGGGAAUGGCAUUUGGAACUGCAAGGCUCGAGUGCGGCAGAGGAGACUGGAAUUCCUGGUGUAGCAGUGAAAUGCGUAGAUAUCAGGAGGAACACCGAUGGCGAAGGCAGCCUUCUGGGCCAACACUGACGCUCAUGCACGAAAGCGUGGGGAGCAAACAGG
RNAcentral lists this ribosomal RNA (253 nucleotides) under uncultured bacterium. Its description in RNAcentral is "partial 16S ribosomal RNA". It matches the Rfam family "Bacterial small subunit ribosomal RNA", at positions 524 to 776 of the family's 1533-position model. The record is from RNAcentral.